Molecule: ribosomal RNA, 253 nt
Filed under: uncultured bacterium
Lineage: Bacteria
Description: partial 16S ribosomal RNA
Rfam family: Bacterial small subunit ribosomal RNA
Source: RNAcentral
UACGUAGGGGGCUAGCGUUGUCCGGAAUCAUUGGGCGUAAAGAGCGUGUAGGCGGCUUUACAGGUCCGUUGUGAAAACUCGAGGCUCAACCUCGAGACGCCGGUGGAAACCGUAAAGCUAGAGUCCGGAAGAGGAGAGUGGAAUUCCUGGUGUAGCGGUGAAAUGCGCAGAUAUCAGGAAGAACACCCGUGGCGAAGGCGGCUCUCUGGGACGGUACUGACGCUGAGACGCGAAAGCGUGGGGAGCAAACAGG